Conger conger (European conger) is the source of this 134-nucleotide small nucleolar RNA. RefSeq annotates it as U8 small nucleolar RNA. The transcript has a single exon. Lineage: Eukaryota; Metazoa; Chordata; Actinopteri; Anguilliformes; Congridae. The record is from RefSeq and is a predicted model, not a curated record.
UCGUCAGUGAGGUACAUCCUUACCUGUUACUUCAGUAAUGAAGUUUCAGAAAAUGAUGAAUGGACAUUAUGAUUUAUGAUUAUACUGUCUUUGGGUAUAGGAGAACUGCAACACUUUUAUACCCCCAUUCUGAU